RNA transcript from Oncorhynchus keta (chum salmon), 2353 nucleotides. It is a transcript of the gene named anaphase-promoting complex subunit CDC26-like, with no coding region annotated. The record is from RefSeq and is a predicted model, not a curated record. The transcript has 2 exons. NCBI's taxonomy places the organism in Eukaryota, Metazoa, Chordata, Actinopteri, Salmoniformes, Salmonidae.
AUGGUGCGCAGAAAGCCCACCCGUCUGGAAUUGAAGUUGGAUGACACUGAGGAGUUUGAGUGUGUCAAGAAACAGCUUGAGAUUCGGAAAAAACAGAGCGAUGAAGCGAUGAAGUAAUAUGGUGGGGGCCAGCGGUGGAACAGGGGAUGGGAAGACACGGGAACAGAUGAUCAACGAGAGAAGAAGCUACAAGCCCCAUCCUAAACCCAACACCUUGCCCUCACUCUUUGGAAACCUGCAGUUUUAGGUUCCUAAUAGGCACAUUAACAAGACUGCUCAAACCAGUGUUGGUGUGUGGAUGGCACAGUAACAAUGCUAUUGACAUGGUCAGGGAUACUUGUGUGCUUGCCUGAGGUCAGAAUUCUCUUCACAAAGAAAUAUGUAGUUUGAGGAUGAUGUUUUGCUUAUAACACACAUCUUCUAAAGUAAUGUUGUUGCAUUUACCUGAAAUGUUAUGACUUGCGAUGCAAAGCGUGUGGCCUUUCGUACAAUAUGUUUCAUGGGAGCAGUUGUAGUGGUUUCCCUCCAUUACACAAAUCCAGACUUGGUAGUCCCAGGAAGGUGAAGGUAGCAUCUUUGGGGCACAAUGGAAUGGACUUGAUAACUAAUCAGUUAUUACUUAGAAUGGUAUGAUUGUAGUUUUAUUGGCCUUCAAGGCUGCAUUAUGAGAAUGCAACAGAAUCAAACAUACAGUUCUUGAAUGAUACCAUUUAUUACUUUCUCUAGAUGAUUACAGCACUGUAAAUACGUCAUACUAUACAGACAUGUCUGUGGACUUUACAGUCCAGGUAAUGUUCACACUGUUGCUGCGCUGGAGUGGCAGUCAGACUCCCACUGCUGUUUUGGCCCAUUAACUUCAACGCUCGAGAUGUAUAGUAGACUAUAAUAAUACAUUUUGAUACAUGAUCCCAUGUGGUAAAGCAGAAACAGUUAUAAUAUGUUCAAGUAUACACCAACUAUUAAUGUCCCUGGCUUGAUUGUAAUGUAAUGAGGAUGUGCUGCAGUUAAAUUCAGUUAUAGCAACUAGGAAUUUGACCCUCAAACCAGGCACAGCACAUCACUAAGGCUGUGUUUAGACAAGCAGCUCAAUUCUGAUAUUUCUCACUAAUUGGUCUUUUGACCAAUCACAUCAGAUCUUUCUACAACCAAUAUUUUUCCAGAUCUGAUUGGUCAAAAGACCAAUUAACUGAGUGCAACAACAAACAAACAAAAUCAGAAUUGGGCUGCCGGUCUACAGAGACAGACAAUUCUGAAAUUUCCGCUAAUUGGUCUUUUAACCAAUCAAAUCAGCUCUAUUGCCAAAUCAUUAAAAGAUCAGAAUCAGACUGCCUGUGUAAAACACAGCUUUAGGCAACUGAUAAACAUUUACUAGUCAUUUCUCAGAGAUGAAAAAAAAUAUAAUCAAGAAACUAAAAAUACAACUUUCUCUUUAGGUUCUACUUCAUAGAUAUCCCCUCCUGUCAAAGUGUGAACUGUGAGGCGUAAGCACCGAUAGGUCACAAGAGGUGCAGUAAUCAUGUUACUAGGCCAGUCUGAGAAAGCACUAGAUCCAUCCUCGUACUUUCCCAGUUCCCUGCUUGCCCUUGGGAUCUGAGCACUUGCUCCAAUAAGGAAACUAGUGUCCAUGUUGUGUUGACAUGUGAACUAAUUUAAGCCUAUUGAAUGAAUGCACCAAAAGUUACUCCCAAGUUAUAUAAUGAACAUUUUAUAUUGGCUUCUUGAUGUACAAGAGCAAUUUACAUUUGUGUGUCAGAUCAAACCUUCGAGUGCCAAGUGUCAUUGGUAAAUAAUGAGGUUGUCAUUCAUAAACUACCAAAAUUGAACACAGCAUAGCAGUGUGUCUCAUGAAGAGGGUCUCAAAGGUUGCCGCGCUCUGCUGCAUUACACUAAUGUAUAUAAUCACACAACAUUUAAAGUGUACUGUACUUGACUGCUUGUCCACUGGACAAACUUCUUUAAAAUAGCACUGGCACUUGUCAGUAGACUACAGUUGGCCUAGGCUGUCAUGUUUCCCUCCUUUAAGGCAAAGGGUUUAGUAAGGCUUAGUCAUACAGCCAGAGCUGCCCCACCAUCUCCACACAAUCCCAAGUAUGACCUUUGACUCCUGUAGUUGAGAGACCCUGAUUAUGUUAGACCCCCCUCCGCCCCCAGAUUGUCAGAUGGAAUGCAGAUAUGACAAGGCUUCAGAAGAACACAUUGGCUUUAACGUGGGCCCAGGUGGGGUCAGGAAAAACUCUGGGCCCUAUUCACAAUGAUCUUCAAUGAGAAAGGAUGUAAGGGUCAUAAAUAGCCCUCUGAGUAGAAGAGCCUAGAGCCCCAGUGCUACAAGGAUGAACCUGCACUGGUUGUUGCG